UUUUUCGCUGCGAGUGUCAAGCGAGUCGCGAUUGUAACAAUUGAACGGUCGACGCGCGUAAUGUUCGGAUAAUUGCGUGUAAAUUGGUAGCCGGAACUAGACACGCGGAACAUAUAUAUACAUAUGUAUAUAUACGCGUAGAGAGCUGAUAGAGUGUAAAUGGAAUGUAAAAUGGAAGGAAACGCGUGGUUACGAGAAUAAGUCGUUCGUAUCGACAGAGUUUCUCUAAGGACCUUUAAGAAGAGGAGGAGAAGGAGUGUAUUCUUUUGUUUGACAAACGUGUCGAACAAUAAAUCACGCACCUACGCCUUAGCCUUCGGCUAUAUCGUCACAAGAACGAGGAAAAAGAAGCUUGUAACUCGUUUCGUAAGUAGAGUCGUGUUUUACGGAGCAUUGACGUCACUGGUGUAUUCAGAUUGCAUUGUUGCAGAUAAGUUUCAAUCGAGCACCGUUCCAGUUUUAACGUUUAACAACGGGAGCCACCAGAUAAGCCAGAUUCACUGCAUAUCCAACCCGAUAAGAGAAUCCGAGGGGAAAAACAGGAUUCAUUCGUAAUUCACACUUCUAAACAUUUUAUGUUAUAUUGGCCUUAUAUACUGGCUACAGAAAGUAUUGGAACAUACACUUACCUUUUAAUAAAUAAAAUUUCAUUUUCAUAAGAAGACAUUUUUUUGAAUCGUA
Molecule: long non-coding RNA, 681 nt
Organism: Bombus impatiens (common eastern bumble bee)
Lineage: Eukaryota; Metazoa; Arthropoda; Insecta; Hymenoptera; Apidae
Exons: 2
Source: RefSeq, a predicted model, not a curated record